GCCUACGGGAGGCAGCAGUAGGGAAUUUUGCGCAAUGGACGGAAGUCUGACGCAGCAACGCCGCGUGAAGGAUGACUGCCUUCGGGUUGUAAACUUCUGUUGGAUGGGAAAAAAAGCCCGGGUGACCGGGAAUUGAUGGUACCAUUCGAGUAAGCACCGGCUAACUACGUGCCAGCAGCCGCGGUAAUA
RNAcentral lists this ribosomal RNA (189 nucleotides) under uncultured bacterium. RNAcentral describes it as "partial 16S ribosomal RNA". It matches the Rfam family "Bacterial small subunit ribosomal RNA", at positions 337 to 525 of the family's 1533-position model. The record is from RNAcentral.